GCUCGAUGCAUACCAAAUCCUCAAGUAUCCAUUGACCACCGAGUCCGCAAUGAAGAAGAUAGAGGACAACAACACACUCGUCUUCAUAGUGGAUCUUCGAGCAGACAAGAAAAAGAUCAAAGCUGCAGUGAAGAAGAUGUAUGACAUCCAGACCAAGAAAGUGAAUACCCUGAUCAGGCCUGAUGGCACCAAGAAGGCAUAUGUGAGAUUGACUCCGGACUACGAUGCACUUGACAUUGCAAACAAAAUUGGUAUCAUUUAGGUGUUUGUUUUCUAGACUCUGAUUUUGUUAAACUUCAAAUUAGUCGGUCAUUUCUGAGUUUUUAAGGAACUUUAAUUUAUGAUUAGUAUGCUGAGGAUGCUCUUUU
This 368-nucleotide unclassified non-coding RNA is filed under the name Hevea brasiliensis (rubber tree). Lineage: Eukaryota; Viridiplantae; Streptophyta; Magnoliopsida; Malpighiales; Euphorbiaceae. The record is from RNAcentral.